GAACGCUGGCGGCGUGCCUAAUACCUGCAAGUCGAGCGAACGGACGAGAAGCUUGCUUUUCUGAUGUUAGCGGCGGACGGGUGAGUAACACGUGGAUAACCUACCUAUAAGACUGGGAUAACUUCGGGAAACCGGAGCUAAUACCGGAUAAUAUUUUGAACCGCAUGGUUCAAAAGUGAAAGACGGUCUUGCUGUCACUUAUAGAUGGAUCCGCGCUGCAUUAGCUAGUUGGUAAGGUAACGGCUUACCAAGGCAACGAUGCAUAGCCGACCUGAGAGGGUGAUCGGCCACACUGGAACUGAGACACGGUCCAGACUCCUACGGGAGGCAGCAGUAGGGAAUCUUCCGCAAAGGGCGAAAGCCUGACGGAGCAACGCCGCGUGAGUGAUGAAGGUCUUCGGAUCGUAAAACUCUGUUAUUAGGGAAGAACAUAUGUGUAAGUAACUGUGCACAUCUUGACGGUACCUAAUCAGAAAGCCACGGCUAACUACGUG
Molecule: ribosomal RNA, 494 nt
Filed under: uncultured bacterium
Lineage: Bacteria
Description: partial 16S ribosomal RNA
Rfam family: Bacterial small subunit ribosomal RNA
Source: RNAcentral